This 385-nucleotide ribosomal RNA is filed under the name uncultured bacterium. RNAcentral's name for it is "bacterial SSU rRNA". It matches the Rfam family "Bacterial small subunit ribosomal RNA", at positions 30 to 416 of the family's 1533-position model. The record is from RNAcentral.
AUUGAACGCUGGCGGCAUGCCUUACACAUGCAAGUCGAACGGCAGCGGGCCUUCGGGUGCCGGCGAGUGGCGAACGGGUGAGUAAUGCAUCGGAACGUGCCAUUGAGUGGGGGGAUAACGUAGCGAAAGUUACACUAAUACCGCAUAUUCUGUGAGCAGGAAAGCAGGGGACCGCAAGGCCUUGCGCUCUUUGAGCGGCCGAUGUCAGAUUAGCUAGUUGGUGAGGUAAAGGCUUACCAAGGCGACGAUCUGUAGCGGGUCUGAGAGGAUGAUCCGCCACACUGGAACUGAGACACGGUCCAGACUCCUACGGGAGGCAGCAGUGGGGAAUUUUGGACAAUGGGCGCAAGCCUGAUCCAGCCAUGCCGCGUGAGUGAAGAAGGCC